GCGGGAAUGGCGGAACUGGCAGACGCACUUGAUUUAGGCUCAAGAUAUUGAGGGUUCGACUCCCUUUUCCCGUA
RNAcentral lists this transfer RNA (74 nucleotides) under Chryseobacterium scophthalmum. Its description in RNAcentral is "tRNA-Leu". It matches the Rfam family "tRNA". Rfam says of the family: Transfer RNA (tRNA) molecules are approximately 80 nucleotides in length. Their secondary structure includes four short double-helical elements and three loops (D, anti-codon, and T loops). Further hydrogen bonds mediate the characteristic L-shaped molecular structure. tRNAs have two regions of fundamental functional importance: the anti-codon, which is responsible for specific mRNA codon recognition, and the 3' end, to which the tRNAs corresponding amino acid is attached (by aminoacyl-tRNA synthetases). tRNAs cope with the degeneracy of the genetic code in two manners: having more than one tRNA (with a specific anti-codon) for a particular amino acid; and 'wobble' base-pairing, i.e. permitting non-standard base-pairing at the 3rd anti-codon position. RNAcentral also lists the same sequence under 5 other names. The record is from RNAcentral. Lineage: Bacteria; Pseudomonadati; Bacteroidota; Flavobacteriia; Flavobacteriales; Weeksellaceae.